UUUGGUUCCCUGCUUCAGGACGAACGCUGGCCGGCGUGCCUUAAUCCAUGCAAAGUCGAAGCGGAUUGAUGGGAAGCUGGUUCCCUGUUAUCACCGCCGAACGGUUGAUUACCACGUGGUUACCUUCCUGGUAGGACUGGGAUAAUUCCGGGAACCCGGGGUUAUUCCCGGUUAAUUCAUUUCUUGCCAGGAGGAAAUGUGAAAAGGUGGUUUCGGCUAUCACUUACAGAUGGACCCGCGGCGCAUUAGCUAGUUGGUGAGGUAACGGCUCACCAAGGCGACGAUGCGUAGCCGACCUGAGAGGGUGAUCGGCCACACUGGGACUGAGACACGGCCCAGACUCCUACGGGAGGCAGCAGUAGGGAAUCUUCCGCAAUGGACGAAAGUCUGACGGAGCAACGCCGCGUGAGUGAUGAAGGUUUUCGGAUCGUAAAGCUCUGUUGUUAGGGAAGAACAAGUACCGUUCGAAUAGGGCGGUACCUUGACGGUACCUAACCAGAAAGCCACGGCUAACUACGUGCCAGCAGCCGCGGUAAUACGUAGGUGGCAAGCGUUGUCCGGAAUUAUUGGGCGUAAAGCGCGCGCAGGUGGUUUCUUAAGUCUGAUGUGAAAGCCCACGGCUCAACCGUGGAGGGUCAUUGGAAACUGGGGAACUUGAGUGCAGAAGAGGAAAGUGGAAUUCCAAGUGUAGCGGUGAAAUGCGUAGAUAUUUGGAGGAACACCAGUGGCGAAGGCGACUUUCUGGUCUGUAACUGACACUGAGCGGAAAGAGUGGGGAGCAAACAGGAUUAGAUACCCUGGUAGUCCACGCCGUAAACGAUGAGUGCUAAGUGUUAGGGGGUUUCCGCCCCUUAGUGCUGCAGCUAACGCAUUAAGCACUCCGCCUGGGGAGUACGGUCGCAAGACUGAAACUCAAAGGAAUUGACGGGGGCCCGCACAAGCGGUGGAGCAUGUGGUUUAAUUCGAAGCAACGCGAAGAACCUUACCAGGUCUUGACAUCCUCUGACAACCCUAGAGAUAGGGCUUUCCCCUUCGGGGGACAGAGUGACAGGUGGUGCAUGGUUGUCGUCAGCUCGUGUCGUGAGAUGUUGGGUUAAGUCCCGCAACGAGCGCAACCCUUGAUCUUAGUUGCCAGCAUUCAGUUGGGCACUCUAAGAUGACUGCCGGUGACAAACCGGAGGAAGGUGGGGGAUGACGUCAAAUCAUCAUGCCCCUUAUGACCUGGGCUACACACGUGCUACAAUGGACGGUACAAAGGGCAGCGAGACCGCGAGGUUUAGCCAAUCCCAUAAAACCGUUCUCAGUUCGGAUUGUAGGCUGCAACUCGCCUACAUGAAGCUGGAAUCGCUAGUAAUCGCGGAUCACCAUGCCGCGGUUGAAUACGUUCCCGGGCCUUGUACACACCGCCCGUCACACCACGAAGAGUUUGUAACACCCGAAGUCCGGUGAGGUAACCUUUUUGGAGCCAGCCGCCUAAGGUGGGACAGAUGAUUGGGGGUGAUCUACAAAGGGGGAGGCGCGA
RNAcentral lists this ribosomal RNA (1522 nucleotides) under unidentified. RNAcentral's name for it is "bacterial SSU rRNA". It matches the Rfam family "Bacterial small subunit ribosomal RNA". The record is from RNAcentral.